GAGUUUUGCUUGACCGAUAAACAAAUAACAAUUCGUAAUAUAAAUACAAACUAUACGUAUGUGUACAUAUGUAUGUAUUUAUAUUCUUUAAUAUUUUGUAUAAACAAAGUUGAGCACGUCAUGUUUAAAAGUAACUCAUUCGUGACUUGAUCUUAACCAUGAUCUGUGAUUGUUUCAUAAAUGAAAACUUUCAAAAUAUUCAAACGGCAUUAAGCGAUUAACAAAAUAGCAUGUUCUCCUUUAAUACAAUAGUCGGGUACACGUCAAUGCCAAGGGUCCUCAUUUAUAUCCCGCGAAGAUAAGUUGUGGUCCACGUGCACUCCAUUGUACCAGGCAAUUCCAGAUUCGAAAAAGAUUCUGCGAAAGAUUUGUAACAUUGUUACGAGGUUUUCUUUAUCCAACACAUUCUUUUAUACUGUGACUGAUGCCUUCAUGUUGAAAAUAAGAAUAGGAUAAAUGCUCGAUAACAUAUAAAUUACCUAUAUUUUGACGGUAGCAAAUAUUUUUUAAUAUAAUGUUCGAUAUUGCCGUUCCGACAGUUCGUAUACAUUGACAUUACAACCUCUUUACCUUGAUAUAAAUUCGAGCUCGAGAAGCUUUGAUCGGAACAAUGUUUUUACCAUUGAAAAAACUAUACCUGUUCAUAGACCUACAUAAAUAUGGAUGUGGAUAGGUACAUUUAUAUGUGUGUAUAUACAAACGUGCAUCUUCUUUUCCAUUAUCUCCCACUCGUUUUAUUGAAUUCACACGAUUGUAAGAGAUCGCAGCUUGCAUGAUAAAAGAGGAAACAUGCGCAUUUUGGAUUUCUCGCUGCUGACAUUGCAGCAGGCUGUCGAUUGGCAGACAUCCGCGUAUUUUGGCAAUCGUUUAUAUCAGGAAAACAAAACCGAAUAAAAAGUAAAAUAAAUAUAAAAGCAAAUGACUUAAAACCAAGUUUAUGACCAACAAUGAUCAUUAGUUACCCAACAGAAUUCUCUUUGACGACCAGUGAACUUCCGCAGACAAUCAACUCGGAGCCGCCAAUGAGAAGGUUCCAGCGAACGCAUUCUGGGUCAACAUAGCGUAUCGGUAGCUAACUCAUGUGGAGCCUUGGGUUCGGUUUAGUGGUGUCAGUCUGACUUACUCGGUCUCACAAUACACUGAAAUUAUCAAAGCCUUUCCAUGCUGAAGCUGAAAAUUAAUCUCGUUCUUGUCGCAAGAAGGACGCUGUUUUAAAAAUGUAAA
Bactrocera oleae (olive fruit fly) is the source of this 1224-nucleotide non-coding RNA. Lineage: Eukaryota; Metazoa; Arthropoda; Insecta; Diptera; Tephritidae. The record is from RefSeq and is a predicted model, not a curated record.